GGACACUGUCUCAGCCAUGAGCUCGGUGAAAUUGUAGUAUCGGUGAAGAUGCCGGUUACCCGCAGUGGGACGAAAAGACCCCGUGCACCUUUACUAUAGCUUCGUAUUGACCUUGGUCAAACAAUGUGUAGGAUAGCUGGGAGGAUUUGAAGCGGUGUCGCCAGGCAUCGUGGAUCCAUUGUUGAAAUACCAGCCUUUGUUUGAUCGGGGCCUAACCCUAAAACUAGGGAACAGUGCGUGGUGGGUAGUUUGACUGGGGUGGUCGCCUCCAAAAGAGUAACGGAGGCUUCUAAAGGUGCCCUCAAUACGGUUGGCAAUCGUGUGUAGAGUGCAAUGGCACAAGGGCGCUUGACUGGGAGACAUACAGGUCGAUCAGGUUGGAAACAAGAGCAUAGUGAUCCGGUGGUUCCGCAUGGAAGGGCCAUCGCUCAAAGGAUAAAAGGUACGCCGGGGAUAACAGGCUGAU
Molecule: ribosomal RNA, 466 nt
Filed under: Alexandrium margalefii
Lineage: Eukaryota; Dinophyceae; Gonyaulacales; Pyrocystaceae
Description: partial Bacterial large subunit ribosomal RNA
Rfam family: Bacterial large subunit ribosomal RNA
Source: RNAcentral